UAAAUAUUGGUGGAUAACAUUACAAAAUUGUCCCACUUAAUGAUUAUAUCCAACGUUUUAGAUAGCUAAAGAGAAUAUAUCAUCAACUAUACUAGUCUAUCAAACUAAUGUAACCAAUGUCACAAUACCUCACAUCAUGCUAAAAAUUACCCACACAUUAAGAAAAAAGAAAGGAAGAGACCAUAUAAUACUCUUUUUUACUUAGACAACUCUAAUACAACCAACCUAAUACUUGAUCAAGAAUCUUUGAUGAUAGCAGAUUAAGCCUUUGCAAAAGAUCC
RNAcentral lists this long non-coding RNA (281 nucleotides) under Physcomitrium patens. RNAcentral describes it as "long non-coding RNA (PPAT_LNC013916)". Lineage: Eukaryota; Viridiplantae; Streptophyta; Bryopsida; Funariales; Funariaceae. The record is from RNAcentral.